CAGUAAGUAAGUUUUUUCAAGAUGUAAAGCCAGGCUCCAAAAGAUUUUGGCUUACCAGAGUCCCCUCAGUGAGCGGUCAUGACAAGCCAAGCCUCUUCCCUCUGGUCACAUAUUCUUUCACAAUACCAUAAAACCACGACAAAGGAUGCUGGUCUCCACUGCAGUCUACAUGGCAGCAUACCUUACAAUAUUUAGGAUACAAGAGAAAGAGGGAGUCAGUUAAUUGCUAAUUUCUUAUAUUCGAAGUUUUUUUAAAAAAUGUGUGUACCAGCUACUUUUUCCACUAUGUUCAGUAGAGAAGUUCUGUUUCCUACAUUCAUUUUCUUCCUGACAUUACUACAAAAAUAUUCAUUGAGAAUUUGGUGGUGAAAGGAUGUAACCUACUAUGAAACACCUAAGCAGCAAAAAUGUGGCUUCAAGUUACCUUGAUUGGGAUGAGUAUAAGGAAGAUAUUAGGAAUAUUUAAUCCAACCAUUAAUGGGAUUGCACAUAAACAACCCUCUCUCCUAUAAUUUAAAAACUUCAUAUUCUUUAUUAUGCUCUCAUUUAAUUGUGGCAAAAUCAUUACUAAUUUAGAUACUGCCCAAAAUAUUUUUUCCAUUAGAAAUUGUGUUGUUUCAAGACUUCUGCCAAAAUGGCCAAAUAGGAAAAGCUCCAGUCUGCAGUUCCCAGUGAGAGUGAUCCAGAAGGUGAUUGAUCUCCACAUUUCCAACCAAGCAAAGUGUUUUCCAGAUUCAUCCAUGUCCCUACAAACGACACGAACUCAUCAUCCUCAGCAAACUGACACAAGAACAGAAAAUGAAACACCGCAUAUUCUCACUCAUAGGUGGGUGAUGAAAAAUGAGAACACAUGGACACAGAAAGGGGAGUACUAAACACUGGGGUCUAUUGGGGGGAAAAGGGGAGGGCCAGUGGGAGGGGGAGGUGGGGAGGGAUAGCCUGGGGAGAAAUGCCAAAUGUGGGUGAAGGGGAGAAGAAAAGCAAAGCACACUGCCAUGUGUGUACCUACGCAACUGUCUUGCAUGCUCUGCUCAUGUACCCCAAAACCUAUAAUCCAACAAAAAAAAAAAAAAAAAAAAAAAGAAAGCAAAGUGACCCAUAUUAUGUAGCUCAUUUAGUAGUUGCUCAAUAGAUGUUCAUAGACUGAGCAGAAAG
This 1155-nucleotide long non-coding RNA is filed under the name Callithrix jacchus (white-tufted-ear marmoset). RNAcentral describes it as "lncRNA (ENSCJAG00000071239.1)". The record is from RNAcentral. Lineage: Eukaryota; Metazoa; Chordata; Mammalia; Primates; Cebidae.